RNAcentral lists this ribosomal RNA (463 nucleotides) under uncultured bacterium. RNAcentral describes it as "partial 16S ribosomal RNA". It matches the Rfam family "Bacterial small subunit ribosomal RNA", at positions 30 to 507 of the family's 1533-position model. The record is from RNAcentral.
CGACCGCUGGCGGCGUGCUUACCACAUGCACGUCGACCGGAAAGGCCCCUUUGGGGGUACUCGAGUGGCGAACGGGUGAGUAACACGUGAGUAACCUGCCCUUGACUUCGGGAUAACUUCAGGAAACUGGGGCUAAUACCGGAUAGGAAUCCUUGCUGCAUGGUGGGGGUUGGAAAGCUUCGGCGGUUUUGGAUGGACUCGCGGCUUAUCAGCUUGUUGGUGGGGUAGUGGCUUACCAAGGCUUUGACGGGUAGCCGGCCUGAGAGGGCGACCGGCCACAUUGGGACUGAGAUACGGCCCAGACUCCUACGGGAGGCAGCAGUGGGGAAUAUUGCACAAUGGGCGGAAGCCUGAUGCAGCAACGCCGCGGGCGGGAUGACGGCCUUCGGGUUGUAAACCGCUUUCAGCAGGGGCGAAGCUUGUGGUGACGGUACCUGCAGAAGAAGCACCGGCUAACUACGUG